Molecule: transfer RNA, 69 nt
Filed under: Ascaphus truei (coastal tailed frog)
Lineage: Eukaryota; Metazoa; Chordata; Amphibia; Anura; Ascaphidae
Description: transfer RNA-Ala
Rfam family: tRNA
About the family: Transfer RNA (tRNA) molecules are approximately 80 nucleotides in length.
Source: RNAcentral
AAGACUUUAGCUUAAUUAAAGUGUCUGAGUUGCAUUCAGUUGAUGUUGGAUAAUAUCUUGCAAGUCUUA